This 500-nucleotide ribosomal RNA is filed under the name uncultured bacterium. RNAcentral's name for it is "partial 16S ribosomal RNA". It matches the Rfam family "Bacterial small subunit ribosomal RNA", at positions 30 to 523 of the family's 1533-position model. The record is from RNAcentral.
AUUGAACGCUGGCGGAAUGCUUUACACAUGCAAGUCGAACGGCAGUACGGACUUCGGUCUGGUGGCGAGUGGCGAACGGGUGAGUAAUGUAUCGGAACGUGCCCAGUCGUGGGGGAUAACGUAGGGUAAAUUACGCUAAUACCGCAUACGAUCUAUGGAUGAAAGCGGGGGAUCGCAAGACCUCGCGCGAUUGGAGCGGCCGAUAUCAGAUUAGGUAGUUGGUGGGGUAAGGGCCCACCAAGCCAACGAUCUGUAGCUGGUCUGAGAGGACGACCAGCCACACUGGAACUGAGACACGGUCCAGACUCCUACGGGAGGCAGCAGUGGGGAAUUUUGGACAAUGGGCGAAAGCCUGAUCCAGCCAUUCCGCGUGCAGGAUGAAGGCCCUCGGGUUGUAAACUGCUUUUGUACAGAACGAAAAGGUUUCUACUAAUACUAGGAGCUCAUGACGGUACUGUAAGAAUAAGCACCGGCUAACUACGUGCCAGCCGCCGCCGUAA